CACGUAGGGGACGAGCGUUGUCCGGAUUCAUUGGGCGUAAAGCGCGCGUAGGCGGCUCGGAAAGUCGGUCGUGAAAUGCCGGGGCUCAACCCCGGGACUGCGUCCGAUACUCCCGAGCUGGAGGCAGGUAGGGGAGAUCGGAAUUCCUGGUGUAGCGGUGAAAUGCGUAGAUAUCUGGAGGAACACCGGUGGCGAAGGCGGCAUCCUGGACCAUUACUGACACUGAAAAGCGAAAGCCAGGGGAGCAAACGGG
RNAcentral lists this ribosomal RNA (253 nucleotides) under uncultured bacterium. RNAcentral describes it as "partial 16S ribosomal RNA". It matches the Rfam family "Bacterial small subunit ribosomal RNA", at positions 524 to 776 of the family's 1533-position model. The record is from RNAcentral.